ACACAUGCAAGUCGAACGGAGCACCCUUGAUUGAGGUUUCGGCCAAAUGAUAGGAAUGCUUAGUGGCGGACUGGUGAGUAACGCGUGAGGAACCUGCCUUUCAGAGGGGGACAACAGUUGGAAACGACUGCUAAUACCGCAUGACGCAUUUUGAUCGCAUGGUCGAAAUGCCAAAGAUUUAUCGCUGAAAGAUGGCCUCGCGUCUGAUUAGCUAGUUGGUGAGGUAACGGCCCACCAAGGCGACGAUCAGUAGCCGGACUGAGAGGUUGACCGGCCACAUUGGGACUGAGAUACGGCCCAGACUCCUACGGGAGGCAGCAGUGGGGAAUAUUGGGCAAUGGGCGCAAGCCUGACCCAGCAACGCCGCGUGAAGGAAGAAGGCUUUCGGGUUGUAAACUUCUUUUAAGUGGGAAGAGUAGAAGACGGUACCACUUGAAUAAGCCACGGCUAACUACGUGCCAGCAGCCGCGGUAAUACGUAGGUGGCAAGCGUUGUCCGGAUUUACUGGGUGUAAAGGGCGUGCAGCCGGGCAUGCAAGUCAGAUGUGAAAUCUCAGGGCUUAACCCUGAAACUGCAUCUGAAACUGUAUGUCUUGAGUGCCGGAGAGGUAAUCGGAAUUCCUUGUGUAGCGGUGAAAUGCGUAGAUAUAAGGAAGAACACCAGUGGCGAAGGCGGAUUACUGGACGGUAACUGACGGUGAGGCGCGAAAGCGUGGGGAGCGAACAGG
RNAcentral lists this ribosomal RNA (727 nucleotides) under uncultured bacterium. Its description in RNAcentral is "bacterial SSU rRNA". It matches the Rfam family "Bacterial small subunit ribosomal RNA", at positions 51 to 776 of the family's 1533-position model. The record is from RNAcentral.